RNAcentral lists this ribosomal RNA (671 nucleotides) under uncultured Actinomycetes bacterium. RNAcentral's name for it is "bacterial SSU rRNA". It matches the Rfam family "Bacterial small subunit ribosomal RNA", at positions 241 to 923 of the family's 1533-position model. Lineage: Bacteria; Bacillati; Actinomycetota; Actinomycetes. The record is from RNAcentral.
UACGCUAGUUGGUGAGGUAUGGCUCACCAAGGCGACGACGGGUAGCCGGCCUGAGAGGGCGACCGGCCACACUGGGACUGAGACACGGCCCAGACUCCUACGGGAGGCAGCAGUGGGGAAUAUUGCACAAUGGGCGAAAGCCUGAUGCAGCGACGCCGCGUGAGGGAUGACGGCCUUCGGGUUGUAAACCUCUUUCAGCAGGGAAGAAGCGAAAGUGACGGUACCUGCAGAAGAAGCGCCGGCUAACUACGUGCCAGCAGCCGCGGUAAUACGUAGGGCGCGAGCGUUGUCCGGAAUUAUUGGGCGUAAAGAGCUCGUAGGCGGCUUGUCACGUCGGUUGUGAAAGCCCGGGGCUUAACCCCGGGUCUGCAGUCGAUACGGGCAGGCUAGAGUUCGGUAGGGGAGAUCGGAAUUCCUGGUGUAGCGGUGAAAUGCGCAGAUAUCAGGAGGAACACCGGUGGCGAAGGCGGAUCUCUGGGCCGAUACUGACGCUGAAGAGCGAAAGCGUGGGGAGCGAACAGGAUUAGAUACCCUGGUAGUCCACGCCGUAAACGGUGGGCACUAGGUGUGGGCGACAUUUCACGUCGUCCGUGACGCAGCUUACGCAUUAAGUGCCCCGCCCUGGGGGAGUACCGCGCAGGGUUAAACUCAAAGGAAUUGACGGGGGCCCC